UUUUUAUGAACUCGGUUAAAAAGUUCUUAAUGUUAUUAAAAAUAAAAAUUUAGGAAUUUAAUUAGAAAUAAUAAUUCUUAAAAGAUAGCAAAUAAAUAAAGUUAAGGACCUUAAAAAUAAUUUUUUUCCCCUAAAAAUUGUCUUUUAAAAAAAAUUGAGAAUAAAAAUAGAUUAAGAUUAUAAUAAUUUUUAUUUAAAUCCGAUUCAUUAUAUACCCAUUACCCAAUUCAUUAGAUAAUUCAAUUACCAACUGAUAAAAGAAUGCAGGGUAACAGAUAUGAUUACCUUCAAAGAGAGAUGA
RNAcentral lists this unclassified non-coding RNA (301 nucleotides) under Hevea brasiliensis (rubber tree). Lineage: Eukaryota; Viridiplantae; Streptophyta; Magnoliopsida; Malpighiales; Euphorbiaceae. The record is from RNAcentral.